GAAGAAGAGUUGGAAAUUGUAUUAAAGCUUUUAUGACAUUUUAAUGCAAUUCUUCUAUUGCCAUUAAAUAAAAAAGUAACCAAAUAUGUAACCAAAGGACAACAUAUGAAAACAAGUAGUUCUUUUUUUCUUCUGAAGUGAUUAUCAUUUCUGAUAAAGCCAAGUACCGUAAUUCCAUGUCUAAAAACCAAGCCAAAGCAUCUAAUCACUACCUAACUGAGGCUUAGAAAGAAAAGUCAACGGCUUAAUCAUACCCCACAACCUUAGACCUAAAGAGCAGAUG
Molecule: unclassified non-coding RNA, 283 nt
Filed under: Hevea brasiliensis (rubber tree)
Lineage: Eukaryota; Viridiplantae; Streptophyta; Magnoliopsida; Malpighiales; Euphorbiaceae
Source: RNAcentral